UUAAAGCCGUCCUUCUUUUAUUGCUGUUCAUUCCUGUCCAUCACUUUACAAGCUGUCAGCUAAUGCAGCUUUUUAGUUGACAAAGGUUUUGUCCUGAUUUUAGUUUGCCAUUGUGUCUUGUACGACUGAUUAAAUACGAUUCGUGUUUUGAGCUUGGAUGACAAGCAUACAGUAAUUGGCAUCAGUUCGCCAUUUCAAUCGAUCAAUUCCUCGUUUUCCUUUCCUUCCGAAUUCGAUCAUUUUAUUAGUUAUAACCGAGGUUUUCAUUUUCCGCGGUUAGUAACUACAGCUGGCAAUCAAAAUAGAACGGCCUUAAUUAAUCGAAAAGCAAUACGUGAUACCUUACACCCGAAACUUGCUGAAAAAACAAUAAAACACUCAGGCAGAAAUUCAAAUUUAUUUCUCGUGCGACAAAAGCUGUGGACAUCGAGUUGAUGCCGGAGUCCCAUAUUUAUCAGUUAAAAUCCUUCAAUCCUCUGACAUGUCCACGGAUGGUGAUGUGCUGCACCCAGUCUCUGCUCGUUCGCGCAGCACUCGCUCCCAUUCCCUCAAACAACAAAGUCAACCCAUGGUCCUAUUUAAGCAGCGUUCCAAACGCACCAUGAGCCUGCCAUCCAAGCCUGUCUUGCUGCCGCUGAUCAAUAUUCAACGCUGCCAUGACAACUGGGAUGACGAGAGCGAUGAAGGUGAAAAUGAAGAUGAAAAUGAGGAAGAAAUGGCGUGGUACACGCCAGUUGUUGGAUUAACCUGCAGUCUUGUGAUGUAUUUCUGGUCCUGUGUGCUGGCCUACUACGCCAAGAAAUAACGACUACCGAAAGUUUUCAAGCGUUUGUCGCUGGCGUCUGUUUAACAGGGAACUUAAGCGAUGACGACAGCCAAAAAUUGGAGUUAUAUUUUACCAUUGAAUUUUGCAGAACUGUUCAGUACGCCGAGAGGUUUAAAAUCCUGAUCAAAUUAAAGAUGUAACGCCAGCGAUCAGUUCCAGAGGAAAAUACGAAAAAUUAGCCGUCGUGCCUCGCGUUCUUCAAAAUAAGCAGAACUUGGUCAUUUUACGUUGUUGCUUUGCAGAGGACGGUUACUCAUUAAACCUCUUGUUUAGUGACGUUAUAGUUGUCGUUGUCGUCGUGGUUUGCUUAAUCUCCCUAAUGUCUAUGACCUUAAGCCUUGGUCAAACGGUGCAUCAACUACCAUCGACUAUCAUGCGCUUUUCGUUUGACCAAGGCUUCUCGAAAGCAUCUUGAGUGUCAAGAAAAGUUAAAGGAAAUUAAACGUCAGCACGCUUGAGUUAACACUGAGUAAGCACAAAGUGGACUGAUGUAAGAAAAUUAAUAAAACUCUAUGAAGUUCUCAUACUUUAUCAUUCUGAUAAAGGCAAAGUAGAAGAUCACACAUUCGUAAGAGGUUAAGAUUAAUAAAAUUCCAGACAAUAUUACACAACAAAAAAUCUUUAUGUUACAAUCAACGGUAAAAUAAAUUCACUUAGGUUGUGUUUGAAAUAUAUUUUGUUUACUGAGCUAAUUUCAUAUGACCAUUUUCAUCCAUUCUAAUAAUUAUUAAGCUUGUUGCAGUUCUGAAUGUUAACCAUUAACGUUAAAGGAGUAAUUCAGGGUUUGUGCUUCUUGAAAAAUUUAGCCUAAAUUUUUCAAGAUCGUCGUUUGUAAUCCGUGUUAAUCUUCUCCAUCCUUAACCAUUCUUGUUCCUUUAUGGUUUAUUAUUAUCUCUUUGGAAUUUUUCUAUCUACUUCUAUUUUCAGGCUUCCCUUAAUUUGAAGGUAAUUUUGCAUAUUGACAGAAUAAAUCAAAAUACCGUGACUGAGCUGCAGUUAGUAAUAGUGAAUAGGUUGAACUGAUGUUCUAUUGUCUCAGGCUGGUUGAAACUUACGCGGGAAAACCCUAUCGCGAGCAGCCACUAAUCAGAAACAACAUGUCAAGCCCUGCCAGAUAACACAAAGAUGACAGACUUGUAAACAGUACAAGAAAUGAGUCCGCGGGAAGAAUUACCAUUUUACACAGACUCCGCAGGGAAAUUGUCAGCGAAAACGAAUGGAAUCAAAUGCAUACAUACAUACAUACAU
RNAcentral lists this unclassified non-coding RNA (2074 nucleotides) under Orbicella faveolata. RNAcentral describes it as "uncharacterized LOC110043797, transcript variant X1". Lineage: Eukaryota; Metazoa; Cnidaria; Anthozoa; Scleractinia; Merulinidae. The record is from RNAcentral.